UCCGGAAUUAUUGGGCGUAAAGAGCGUGUAGGCGGCUCGAUAAGUCCGCUGUGAAAGUCCAGGGCUCAACCCUGGAAGGCCGGUGGAAACUGAAGAGCUAGAGUAUGGUAGGGGUAGAGGGAAUUCCCGGUGUAGCGGUGAAAUGCGUAGAUAUCGGGAAGAACACCAGUGGCGAAAGCGCUCUACUGGGCCAUAACUGACACUGAGGGACGAAAGCUAGGGGAGCGAAAGGG
RNAcentral lists this ribosomal RNA (233 nucleotides) under uncultured bacterium. RNAcentral's name for it is "partial 16S ribosomal RNA". It matches the Rfam family "Bacterial small subunit ribosomal RNA", at positions 544 to 776 of the family's 1533-position model. The record is from RNAcentral.